UAAGACGAACCGUCCAAACGUUAUUCGGAAUUACUGGGCUUAAAGGGUGCGUAGGCGGCGAGGAAAGUAGGGUGUGAAAUCCCUCGGCUUAACCGAGGAACUGCGCUCUAAACUACCUUGCUCGAGGGAGACAGAGGUGAGCGGAACUUAGGGUGGAGCGGUGAAAUGUGUUGAUAUCCUAAGGAACACCGGUGGCGAAGGCGGCUCACUGGGUCUCUUCUGACGCUGAGGCACGAAAGCUAGGGUAGCGAACGGG
This 256-nucleotide ribosomal RNA is filed under the name uncultured archaeon. Its description in RNAcentral is "partial 16S ribosomal RNA". It matches the Rfam family "Bacterial small subunit ribosomal RNA", at positions 521 to 776 of the family's 1533-position model. The record is from RNAcentral.